CACUCUACAUGUUUGAUUUCAUGUAAUUUGAUGUUAUGCAUAGGUCAUAAGUAGUGUUUAAAAGGUUAAAAACACAUUAAUAUUGGAUGGAUAUAGUAUUUGCUGCUGUAUUCAAAACU
Thalassophryne amazonica is the source of this 119-nucleotide long non-coding RNA. RefSeq lists it as uncharacterized. The transcript is spliced from 3 exons. The record is from RefSeq and is a predicted model, not a curated record. Lineage: Eukaryota; Metazoa; Chordata; Actinopteri; Batrachoidiformes; Batrachoididae.